CACAGAACAUGUGUUUGGCUGGCUGCCUGGCUAUGAGGUGAAUUUUAAGUAACUUUUCAGGCCAUAUUUACCUGAGGGGUUCAGACAGCAUUAGAGUAUGGCCUCAGUUUGCUUUCCAAAAGUAUGCUAAGUUACAUACGAUACUCUCUUUGAAAGUUAAACAAUAGAUCAAGAGACCUGGUACAAAGGAUUUCUCAUAUAAGUAACUGGUAGAGAAAAAUUAAAAUGUAGUUUUGUAUAUUAUAUUUUUGAGACCAACCCUACUGAAGAAUUCUCUACAUAUGGACCAUGAUAUGCAGCUAGAAAUCACCAAGCAGAGAUGUUCCAAGUAUCAAUUUUGUGACAGGAGUAUUUAGAAGAGAAGCAUCAUGAUGCUUGCAUCUUACAUUCAAGUGGUUUGACAAAAACAUCGACAUUAAUUCCUUGAGCUCAAAUAAAUACGUUGCAGAUAAAUGAAGCCACUUUUCUCACUGUUGAAGAAGAAAAUUACAGAUAUGAAAACAGGUAAGAUAGAAUUAAUCCCCUGGGCCGGGCACAGUGGCUCACACCUGUAAUACCAGUACUUUGGGAAGCCAAGGCAGACAGAUCUCUUGAGGUCAGGAGU
RNAcentral lists this long non-coding RNA (604 nucleotides) under Homo sapiens (human). RNAcentral's name for it is "HSALNT0311968". Lineage: Eukaryota; Metazoa; Chordata; Mammalia; Primates; Hominidae. The record is from RNAcentral.